CUUCUCACACCGUUAAUAGGUAUGGUUGGUAACGAAGAAGGCCUAACUCGAUUGAAGUGUAAUGAUCUGUAUGUUAAGAUCCACUCAUGAUUUAUGACAAAUUUGUUUGUAGUCGUAUUAGUGUUUUGAUGGGAAAUUUGUUAAGAUCCACUUAUAAUUCAUGUUAUCAUUCUUUUGCUUGUUGUAGCUUAGGAUUUGUGUUAUUGCUAGAACUUUAUGUCCGUCUAUGUAAUGUUAUAUUUGAUAUUGAACUUAUUUACUAUUGAAAUUUAGUAUUUGUUGAAAUUUUAGUGAUUUCUUAAAUGGAUAGUCUUUUUGUUACUAUGGCUCUUGGUCUGUUUACGCCUUCUCACACCGUUAUCAGGUAUGGUUGGCAAUGAAGAAGGCCUAACUCGGUUGAAGCGUAACGAUCUAUUAUGCCACGUAAUAGAUUUCAUUCUUCUACUCUUUUUCGAAAGUUGAUUGGCAUAAAUAUAUUUGCAUUAUCAGUUGAGUACAUGUUAUGUUAAUCUUGAAAUUUAUUCUACUUUUGAGAUUUUAAGCUAGAAUUACUAGACGCUAGUGCAUAUAGCAUUCCACGUUCACACAUGAUUUGAAGAAAGGUCACACCCCAAUGUGACGUAACAUAGUUAGCAACAUUUCGCCUAUCCUAAUUCAAGUAUCAAUAACUGAUUCCACGGCUCGACUCUGUGACCUAUAGAUCAUAACUUAUGAUUUCUCCAAGUUUACACAAUCUUCUAAUUCUUCAAUUUCAAUAUCUACAGAUGAUAACUUGGAUGAACCACUUAAAAGUGUUCCGGGAACUGAAACAUUUCUCCGGCGACGUGAUCUACCGAGCUUUUGCCGCUCCGGCGACUUAACAGAUUCAUAUAUCCAGCUCCUCAAAACAGAGGGUCAAGAAAAUUCACGAGCUCAUGGCUUAAUACUCAACACAUUCGAAGAAUUAGAUGAACCCAUACUCAAUCAAUUGCGAACAAUUUGCCCAAAUCUCUAUCCAAUUGGACCGCUCCACGCGCAUUUAAAGAAGAAACAAACUACAUUGCGACCAUCAUCAAACAGUUUGUGGGCAGAAGACAGAACUUGCAUCGAUUGGCUAAACGAUCAGCUACCCAAUUCAGUAAUUUACGUUAGUUUUGGGAGUAUCGCGACAAUGACGAAUGAUCAAUUGAUCGAAUUUUGGUACGGAUUGGUUAACAGUGGGCAGAAAUUUUUGUGGGUAAUCCGACCGGAUUCCAUCGCCGGAGAAGAAUGGAGAUCAAAGAUUCCGGUGGAUUUAGCGACGGGGACGAAAGAAAGGGGAUAUAUAGUGGAGUGGGCUCCACAAGAAGAAGUAUUGGCCCAUCCCGCGGUAGGUGGGUUUUGGACUCAUUGUGGAUGGAAUUCGAUUCUCGAGAGUGUUUAUGAGGGGAAGCCCAUGAUUUGUUGGCCUUAUUUUUUUGACCAACAAGUGAAUAGUAGAUUUGUUGAAAAAGUUUGGGGAAUUGGGCUUGACAUGAAGGAUACAUGUGAUAGAGAAAUUGUUGAGAAAAUGGUGAAGGAUUUGAUGGUAUUGAGAAAAGAAGAGUUUUUGGGAAGAGCAAAUCAUAUGUCUAAAUUAGCUAAGAAUUGUUUGAUGGAAGGUGGAUCAUCUUACUCUAAUUUCGAUCGUCUCGUGAAGGAUAUUAAAUCUUUAAGUGAUAAGGUUUAAGCGUCGUUGAAAUGACAGUUCGUUUCUUUUUCAAGGAGAUAAAAGUUGUGCAACCCUUUAAGACAUAUAGAAGUUUCAAUCGUUGUUAGAAUCACAAGGAGAUUUAUUAUGUUAUGUACCUGACUUUCUCAUCGAGUGUUGUUUUAGAUCUUCUUAUUCAAGAAGACACUUUAAUCUUGCUUUUGAAAUUGUACCUUUUGUUUUUAUUUCCGUUGGGUUAUACAAACAUAGUGUGUGUUCUAGAAACAACAAAUAAAAUGAUACUUGUAUUAUAUUAUCUAUAUUUAUUGAAAGUCAUCUAAAUAUUGAGAAAUGAAUUAAAAAUGAUUAGUUAAUAAUAAAGGUAAGCUAGGUAUAAAAUAGUGAUUUAACUCUUAGAUUUAUAAAAUUAGACAAAUAAAUAUGGAUAUUUAUUUUGUUUAGUGGAUGGAGGAAUUAAUCCAUAUGCUUGUAUGCAGAGGAGGAGUGACUACUUUAAGUGUUCAUAACUGAUUCUAAACUUAAUAUUUAUAUAUAAUUAAUUAACACAAAAAAUACUGACUACUAUAUGAGCUUCUAAUUCUGCCCCUAAUUGAUGGUUUACUAUAUAAUGUAGGUGUUGGCCGCUGACUGCUAAAUAAAAGUGCAAGACUAUAGAAUAUGGUAAUUGCUAGUAAUAUACAAAUUAUUUUAUUUAUACUAUAGAAGACAGAAAAAUGUGACAAAUAGUAAAUCAUAGAAGUUUGAAAACAAACAAGUCGUUGUAGUAUAGUGGUAAGUAUUCCCGCCUGUCACGCGGGUGACCCGGGUUCGAUCCCCGGCAACGGCGUAAUUAUAAUUUUUAAAGAUAUGUCAUUUUUUUUGGAAGGGACUAGAAUAAAUAUGAAUUUUUAAAAUAAUAACUAUAGUUAAAUCACUUUUCAAUUUUGGAUCGGACUAGAAUAAAUAUGACUUUUUAAAAUAAUAACUAUAGUUAAAUCACUUUUCAAUUUUGGAUCGGACUAGAAUAAAUAUGACUUUUUAAAAUAAUAACUAUAGUUAAAUCACUUUUCAAUUUUGGAUCGGACUAGAAUAAAUAUGACUUUUUAAAAUAAUAACUAUAGUUAAAUCACUUUUCAAUUUUGGAUCGGACUAGAAUAAAUAUGACUUUUUAAAAUAAUAACUAUAGUUAAAUCACUUUUCAAUUUUGGAACAGACUAGAAUAAAUAUGACUUUUUAAAAUAAUAGCUAUAGUUAAAUCACUUUUCAAUUUUGGAUCGGACUAGAAUAAAUAUGACUUUUUAAAAUAAUAACUAUAGUUAAAUCACUUUUCAAUUUUGGAUCGGACUAGAAUAAAUAUGACUUUUUAAAAUAAUAACUAUAGUUAAAUCACUUUUCAAUUUUGGAUCGGACUAGAAUAAAUAUGACUUUUUAAAAUAAUAACUAUAGUUAAAUCACUUUUCAAUUUUGGAUCGGACUAGAAUAAAUAUGACUUUUUAAAAUAAUAACUAUAGUUAAAUCACUUUUCAAUUUUGGAUCGGACUAGAAUAAAUAUGACUUUUUAAAAUAAUAGCUAUAGUUAAAUCACUUUUCAAACAUUUUUGUUCGUGCUAGGGCUUUCAGAUUGAAUGUCACAAUUCUUAUUUAUAUUUUACUUUUUAUAAGUACCGUUGGGAAAUCUGUAUGGUAUGCUUGUAUACCAAUAAGUUAUUAUGAAGAACCUGAGAUCUUUGGCCAAAUUUUUUUAGAUGCAACGACGUAACUAUUAUAUGCCUACGAUACGUGAAUAUGAUGGAAUACGAUUGUAAUGACUUUUCGUUGGUAUGCAGUUGGAUAUCAUCUCAAAAAUCAAACUUCUUAGAAUUAUUUACAAAAUAAUAACCAUUAUAUUCUCCACACAUAUAUAUUCCCAUAUAGAGAAGGGAUAUUAAUUAAUUACAACAAGGUGUCUACUAAUAAAGUGUUAAAAUUAGUGGGACAAACCCAUUUACAAAAUUGGCUUAAGGUCCUGCCAAUUACCAUAAAGACAAACCAACAAAAUAAAACAAAAAAAAGUUAACUAAUUAAGUGUUGAAAUGGGCCUUGACUAAAAAGAUAAUCGGUGCAUGCACUAAACUUCUGCUAUGCGCUGAGUUCGAAAAAAGGUUGAACCACUUUGCAUAGGGAAAAAAGCAAGGCCUCAAUAGUAUAAUGAUCCUGUGGGACAAAAAAAUAAAUAUAUAGUUGAGUUUUUUUAUGACAUUGCUAAAAGAAAUAAUUAAUCAUAGAAAUAAUUAUUCUUUUCUACAAAAUUUAAUUUCCAUACCUUGCCACCAAUUUCCUCUUGAAGCACAAUUUGAAUUGUUUCCAUUUUGAUCAUCAUCUUCUUCUACAUUUUUCUUGAACUGAUCAAGUCAUGAACAUAAAAGAAACUAUUUAGAAAUUGAAAAACAAACAACUACUACACGACAGAUUCAAAAUUUUCACUGAAGAAGUUCGAAAAAAAAAACAUAGUGCUACUACAUUAAAAAUAAUCUUUAGCGGUAAUUAAUUAACAGUUGCGUUAAAUAUGUAUUUUUAGCCAAAGAACAGGACUAUUAGUCCAACUUGAAGAUUCACAUCUUCUAAGACUAAAAUCUCCAAAAGAUGAUGUCUUUUGGGAAACAACAAUCGAGUACUAGUAGUUAGGUUCAAUUGACAAUUUUGUGAAUGUACACACUUCUUAGUCUUGUCACUUGUGUGUCACAUGGCUCGAAUAAACUCGAAAUCUCAUUCACAACUUGACCCCUUCAAGUUGUUCUAUAGGGCAAGUUGAUGCGAAAACUAGCACGGAUCCCAAAAAAAAAGUCAGCACCAGUGAAAAUGACAUAUUUACUCAACUAUGAGCCACUAAAUUGGGAAAACAAAAUAGAUGUUGAAUGAAUAGUAUGGUUCUCUGUUUAUGUGGAUACUAGUUGUGAAUUGGCCUAAAAUGACACUUUUAUUUACUUAAUUAUGUCAUCAACAUGUCAUGUGUCUGUAUCUGCUCUGAUACCAUGUGUUCAACAACGUCUGAUUAUGUCGAUUGAUCAUGUUGACAGGGUCUUGAUCCAAGGUCUACUGCUGAUAUGUUCUCCGAUUCGAUCUGCAUAGGUGAAAAGCCAGUGCAUGGUGAAGAUUGCUUUGUACUAAAAUUUGAAGCAGAGCCCUCAUCUCUAAAAGCAAGAAGUAGUAGCAAUGUUGAAAUUAUGAGACAUACUGUUUGGGGCUAUUUUAGCCAAAGAACAGGACUAUUAGUCCAACUUGAAGAUUCACAUCUUCUAAGACUAAAAUCUCCAAAAGAUGAUGUCUUUUGGGAAACAACAAUGGAGUCAUUAAUCCAAGAAUAUCGAACAAUCGAUGGUGUUAACAUAGCACAUGCUGGCAAGACAUGUGUUUCCUUAUUCAGAUUCGGCGAAAACUCAGAAGGACAUACAAGGACUAGGAUGGAAGAAGUUUGGACAAUUGAAGAAGUUGAUUUUAACAUAAAGGGACUAUCUUUGGAUUGUUUUUUACCACCAAGUGACAUGAAAAAAGAUGAUGAUCAAGAAAUUAUUAGUGAUGAUGAUGAUAUAAACAAGAAUUCAAGGCUUGAAUCCAAGAAUAUUACUCAUCAUGUUAAUAAUCCUAGAUUUAUAACUGCUAUAAAAGGUGCAGCCAAAAUUGUUGCUAUUGAUCAAGAUUCAGAGGACUAGUAUUGAGGCAGGGGAAGACUUGUAAAUAUGUCUAUGUUGCUCUGACUCUUCAAAAAUGUUCGACGUGUCAUGUGUGCGUGUCUGAUCCUCUAAAAGUACAUUUUUGGAGAGUCUGAUUAACAUAUAAGUAGAUAAGUAAUAAUAUUCUGUGAUCAUUUUUGUACAUAGAGAAUCAUAGGAUAUGGUUUUUUUUUUGUUUGUGUAAAGUGUUUUCAUAUAUACAUACACAUCUAAGUAACUUUGGUUUGAUAGUGAAUUUACUAGGGUUGUAUAAUUGUAUAAUAUACUUUGAUAAUAUAAAGAAUUUUUAUGCUAUCAAUGUUAUUUUACUUGAUCGAGUAGGUUUUUCUUAAUUAAUUUCACUUAUUAUAGAUCAUUACAUGUUAUUAUUACUCUUAUGAAAUCUUAUGUGGACUAUGGGUAUAUAAAAGCUGAACUGUAUAGAUCUACGACGUUGGUUACGAAUUACAAUUCAUGUGAACCUAAGUAACUUUUGUUUAGACUCUACAUAUAAAUAGAAAUUCACUAAAUAUUCACAUAUAUUUAACUGUGAAUUCAAUUAUUAUUAUAAUAUUAACUUGAAUCCGUUUAUGAUUAUUUAUAUCUUGUAAAAUGACUUUCAUAUCCCCUACACUUGUUUAAGUGGAAGGGUCUUCGAUAUUUCAAAGAGAAGUAUUUAGUACGCUUUGGAGGAUGUGAUUUGUAGUUUAGAUUCUUAAUACGUUAUAAUGAAAAAUGGUUAUAUUUGCUCCUUAAUCAUGUAAAAUGAAAUAGAUUUGUCCUCCAUUAAUAGUUAGGUUAAAUAAGCACUCAUCUUUAUAAGUCGGGAUCAAAUUUUCCCUUAUUUUAAAAUGAUUUUAAACAAAGGGUAAAGUUUGAACUUUUCACAUAAUUCAUGGUCAAUUUUAACUAUUUCACAUCGUUUAAAAGCAAAUUUGAUCAUUCCCCCCAAUUUUUAGUUUUUCUUUUUUUGGGUUUAUCCUUUCUCUUUUUACCGCUAUUGUUCAAGAUUGACUAUGUUAACAGAUUGAAACAGCGAAAUAAUAUUAUUUGAAUGCAUAUGUAUCUGCAUAGAGAUCUUUGUUAGAAAAAGUGAUUUGGCGAUAGAAAUAAUGGUGCAAACACAGAAAAGAUAUAUUAAAAAAAUCAUAGCCACUUGGAGAUUAAUUUAUUUUUAUUAAUAGUAUCAAAGUUCGAUUUCACUACCUACCUGCCUACCCCCUUUCCAAUGAAAAAAAACAGAGAUAAUAUUUCUUAACUCUAUCAACUUGACAAAUACUUUCAUUUUAAUUUAUUUAUUCUAUUUUUCUUUAUUUUAUGUUACAUGUUUAAGAUUAUAACAUUAAAACAUAUUUUGAUAUAUUCUAUAUAUUUUUCUUUGAGAGAGAAGAAUUGAAAACACGCCUUAAACUCAGCAUAAAUUAUUAGUUUUAUCUCGAACUAUUAACAGCCUUAAAAAUAUUCAUUUUUCUUGACUAACUGAACUUAAAUACACCCCCAAUUUUACAACAUAAGUGAAAUACACUCCAAAAUUCUCACAAAGUUAAGACGUGUCUUCAACACUUCUCUCGGCUUUUUAUUAAGAGUCGUCAUGCUUCUACAAGUGUUUGAAACCACUUGUUAUGUCGAGUGGCGGAGCCAGAAUUUUCAAUAAGGGGGUUCAAAAUCCGAAGGGGUAAAACAUAUGAACUAGUCGAAGGGGGUUCGACAUUUAUUAUAUACAUCUAAAAAAUAAUUUUAACCAUGUAUAUAUAAUAAUAUUUUUCGCCUAUCAGGAGUGUAUCUAAAUUUAAUUAAUCAAAUAAAUGAGUGUCGUCAAAAGUGUCAAUUAUUUGGAAACGAAACUAAUAAUUAACUGCAAGAGUUUUUCAAUACUUAUCUUUGUAUUUCAUUACUUUUUUCCUAUUUUGCUGAACUCUAGCUAGUCAACAAGUUCCAAUUUUUUGUAAAACAAGAUCACCAUUAUUGAAACUCUUAACAUUAGCCUACCAUGGAUGAACAAGAAUCACUUCCUCCUCAUGUACUCAUUUUCCCUUUACCAUUACAAGGCCCUGUAAACUCAAUGUUCAAACUUGCUGAACUCCUCUGUUUUUCAGGCUUACAUAUCACCAUCCUUCUCACUGAAAACAUUCACAAUCGUCUCGUUCUUCACACUGAUAUAACUUCAAGAUUUGAUCAAUGUCCUGGUUUUCAAAUCAAGACGAUAUCGGAUGGAUUACCAGAUGAUCACCCUCGAGAUGGAGGAAAGUUUAUGGAGGUUUUUGAGUCUUUGAGGACUAAAACAAAGACUCUGUUUAAAGAUAUGUUGACUUCUGAUUUGCUCUGUUUUGAUCUUGAUGGGAAAGAAAGACGACGAGUUAGUUGUAUUAUAGCUGAUGGAAUUUUGGGAUUUACUUGUGAUGUUGCUGAUGAGAUUAGUGUACCUAUUUUUUGUGUUCGAACUAUUAGUCCGUGUUGUCUUUGGAUCUUCUUUUGCCUUCCUAAACUCAUUGAAUCCGGAGAAUAUCCUUUCAAAGGUUAGUAUAUGAUUGUUUGAACUUGAAUAAUGCAAAUUUGUUAGUGUUGGGAUUGGGUUGGUUGAUCGUCUUGAAAACGAUUAUUGUUAUCUUAUGUGUCAGGUUUGUAUGUAACCACGCUCUUGUUUGUUACUUUAAGUACUUUAGGGAUGAUGUUUGUAGUCGUAUUAGUGCUUUGAUGGGGAAAUUUGUUAAGAUUCGCUCAUGAUUCAUGAUAUCAUUGUUGUAGCUUAGGAUUUGUGUAAUUGCUAGAAUUUUAUGUUCGUUUAUGUAAAGUUAUUGAUAUUGAACUCAUUUAGUAUUGAGAUUUUAGAUUUAAAAUUUAGUAUUUGUUGAAAUUUUAGUGAUUUUUUUGAAUGGAUGGCAAAUUUGUUACUAUGGCUCUUGGUCUCUUUUCGCCUUCUCAUACCGUUAUUAGGUAUGGUUGGUAACGAAGAAGGCCUAACUCGGUUGAAGUGUAAUGAUCUGUAUGUUAAGAUCCACUCAUGAUUCAUGACAAAUUUGUUUGCAGUCAUAUUAUUGUUUUGAUGGGAAAUUUGUUAAGAUCCACUUAUAAUUCAAGAUAUCAUUCUUUUGAGUGUUGUAGCUUAAGAUUUGUGUUAUUGCUAGAAUUUUAUGUCCGUCUAUGUAACGUUAUUUGAUAAUGAACUUAUUUACUAUUGAAAUUUUAGUGAGUUCUAGAAUGGAUAGCCUUUUUGUUACUAGGGCUCUUAGUCUCUUUUCACCUUCUCACACCGUUAUCAGGUAUGGUUGGUAACGAGGAAGGCCUAACUCGGUUGAAGUGUAAUGAUCUGUAUGUUAAGAUUCACUCAUGAUUCAUGAUAUCAUUCUUUUGCGUGUUGUAGCUUAGGAUUUGUGUAAUUGCUAGAAUUUUAUGUUUGUCUAUGUAAAGUUAUUGAUAUUGAACUCUUUAAGUAUUGAGCUUUUAGAUUCAAAAUUUAGUAUUUGAUGAAAUUUUAGUGAUUUUUUUGACUGGAUGGCCUUUUUGUUACUGUGGCUCUUGGUCUCUUUUCGCCUUCUCAUACGUUUAUUAGGUAUGGUUGGUAAUGAAGAAGGACUAACUCGAUUGAAGUAUAAUGAUCUGUAUGUUAAGAUCCAUUCAUGAUUCAUGACAAAUUUGUUUGUAGUCGUAUUAGUGUUUUGAUAGGAAAUUUGUUAAGAUCCACUUAUAAUUCAUGAUAUCAUUCUUUCGCUUGUUGUAGCUUAGGAUUUGUGUUAUUGCUAGAACUUUAUGUCC
This 9090-nucleotide long non-coding RNA is filed under the name Solanum tuberosum (potato). RNAcentral describes it as "long non-coding RNA (STUB_LNC005983)". The stretch from base 2424 to 2495 matches the Rfam family "tRNA". Lineage: Eukaryota; Viridiplantae; Streptophyta; Magnoliopsida; Solanales; Solanaceae. The record is from RNAcentral.